CGGCCCCUCCCCCCACCCUGCAGUGCCCCUGCAGCUCCUCGGGAGCAGCCAGAGCUCUCAGGUGCCGCUGCUGAGGGACAGCGACAGCUUAGCCCCCUCAGGACCCCCCCCCAGCGUGCUGAGGUACCUGGAGGAGCAGGUGAACACCUGGACCCCGCCCAGAGCCCCCGUCUAUG
Sturnus vulgaris (Common starling) is the source of this 176-nucleotide non-coding RNA. The record is from RefSeq and is a predicted model, not a curated record. NCBI's taxonomy places the organism in Eukaryota, Metazoa, Chordata, Aves, Passeriformes, Sturnidae.